CUGGCCCCGAAUCCAGGCCGGCAGCUUCCUGAUGCUGUUGGUUUCAAGCAGGAGCCUAAAGAGAUGUCUUCCUAUGGUGUGUUAACCAUUUCAGAACUUGGGCAGUGAAACAGCCAAUUCAUUAGAAAGAAACAGCU
Molecule: small nucleolar RNA, 137 nt
Organism: Cavia porcellus (domestic guinea pig)
Lineage: Eukaryota; Metazoa; Chordata; Mammalia; Rodentia; Caviidae
Source: Ensembl